AGUUUGACUAUGUCCAUUGCCAAUGUCUUUGAGCAACUGUAACGACUAUAAGAAAAACGAUUAUGAGAAAAAAUACUUAAAUAAAAUUAUGUUUGUUAAUUACGAAUUACGCAAAUUGUAUAAAAUAAUGUCACCUGCAUAUGCGCCACAGCUAUUAAAUAUCCAAGAAUAUUCAUUUCCGCAAUUCGAACAAACUAUUAUUGUGCGCUCACUUCACUGUUACAAUUUUUUGUGACAUAUCUAAACUUCCUCGUAUUUAUAAAUUGCGUUCGUCGUCUCGACGUAUCGUAGUGUGGCUCCUAAGAAUAUAACACGUCAUUAUAGAAAAUGUACGAGAACUGUCUGAGAAACAAUAUAUUCGACAGGCCUUCUGAAUUCUUAGGAGUCAUAUCGCUGAAUUCUGUAGAAACGUCUUUUGUGUGGAUGUUAAUUAGUUUUGACAGUUGUUAUAUAAAUUUACAUAAAUAAUUAAAGAUGGACGAUUUUAUUUUUUAAACUCUUUCCUACGUAGUUUAUCAACGUCAUCGGCUUAGUCUGAGUUAUUUAAUUCAUUCUCGUGUGGUUAUUUUUUUUAAAUACAUAUAUCUUUUUAGGGUUCCGUUAGUGAAUGGAAAAUAAUUAAACCUUUUUAAUUAUGUCCUAGGCGUAAAUCUUUCCACAUAUCAGUACAAUAGAAGCGAAAAUUACUUACUUCUACUUUACAAAGUCGGAAGUGUUGGGAAAUUUCUUAAUUCCUAUAAAUGGGUAGAUAAACUCAGAGUCCAUCUGAUGUUAAGUGUUUGGGUGUUAACGACUAAGGAAAUAUCUUCCACCGAACGGGUGAAAUUGCUCGGUAGACCGACGCCGCGACGAACGAAGUUCCUUAUGGGACGAUGCGGAGGAGUACCCUAACCGGGAAAAAACGUCCGUAACGUAAGAUUUUUAGUGUACCACUUAACUUUGUACUAACGUACAAAAACUAACAAUUUUUUAUUAUAUAUUUUUUUUAAAUCAUUGUGAAUAAAAUAAAGUUGAUAACUUUGUAAAUUAGUUUUUAUUUUAUUUUUAUCAAUAAAAAAAUCAUAGUAAAAAAUGUA
Molecule: long non-coding RNA, 1076 nt
Organism: Bombyx mori (domestic silkworm)
Lineage: Eukaryota; Metazoa; Arthropoda; Insecta; Lepidoptera; Bombycidae
Exons: 2
Source: RefSeq, a predicted model, not a curated record